This 98-nucleotide small RNA is filed under the name Mycolicibacterium fortuitum. RNAcentral describes it as "Mycobacterium fortuitum Mycobacterium sRNA Ms_AS-1". It matches the Rfam family "Mycobacterium sRNA Ms_AS-1". The record is from Rfam by way of RNAcentral. Lineage: Bacteria; Bacillati; Actinomycetota; Actinomycetes; Mycobacteriales; Mycobacteriaceae.
GUCGGGUUCGGGAUGAAGUGGUUGACCGUUCCACCCAUCACCGCCAGCGUGCGCUUGCCGUCCUGCACCAUCUGCACACCACGGCUGCGAAACUCCUU